RNAcentral lists this ribosomal RNA (2462 nucleotides) under Dioscorea cayenensis subsp. rotundata (Guinea yam). Its description in RNAcentral is "eukaryotic LSU rRNA". The record is from RNAcentral. Lineage: Eukaryota; Viridiplantae; Streptophyta; Magnoliopsida; Dioscoreales; Dioscoreaceae.
ACGAACUCAAGGGAGAAUCAAACAAUGAAGGGAGUGAUUUGGACAACGAAUCCCCCUAGGGUUGUCAUUAGGUCCUGAAUUUAGGAUGAAAUGCGAGAUGGUAGUUGGGCCAAGAGAAUCCUAUAUUAGCUCAACUCGAUGUUCACGGCAAUUGAACCCUAAUCCCAUACAAGUAUUGGGUGAGAACCGCUUCCACCCAAAUCCUUGUAUGAUUGCAUUACACUCAGGGAAAUCUCUAAUCAGGGUCGAUACUCAAACUAGGUCCAACCCUAAUGGCUGGAGGGGUACAAAAUACCCGAUGGUCACGGUGUAUUUGUACAUGGAUCCCUUCCAAGCCAAGUGUGUCUAGUACAACGGUGAUGGUCACGCAACCAAGUACAACCUAGAAGUUGAAAUACAGAGUUCUCAUGCAAAUCAACACAUCAAAGUACACAAGGCUUGAACCACAAACUACAAGAUUCCAUAAAAGAAAUACAACAUCCAACAAUACAUCAAUAAAGAUGAUUAUCCAAAUUACAAACAAUCAACCCUAGAGUUCAUCAUAUCUAAAUCACAAAUAAGUUAGUGCCUCAUGAAAGAGGACCACUCAUACAAAUCCAAGGAACAAAUAAACAAGAAAAGAAGUAAGAACUACUCCCUCUAGCUUUAGAUCCCCUUGGAUGGUGAAGAUCUUGAAGAUUUGAAGAGAUCUCCCCUUAAAUGAUGCCUUCAAUGCCUAGGAUCUUUUCCCAAUCUUCUCCUCCAAAGCUUGCCUCCCUCUUGGUGAAGUCUUGUAUAGUAGAUCGCCGGCGGGAAGAGAGGGCCGUGGCCUAAGAGGCCCAAGAGAAAAAACUGCCCCUCAAAAAGCUCUCCAUGCACUAGAAAAUCAACCUCCUUUUAUAUUCCAUCAGGUCCAUAUGGGCUCCAUGCGGGCGCAUGGAGCCCGUGAAGCUCACUGGCAUUUUGCUAAGAAAAUGCGUCGGUGCUACAGUACUCAGCUACAGUGAUUUUACUACAAUACUGAGACUUGUGAAAUUCCAGCAAACCUCACGGGCACCCAUGUGAGCGCAUGGAGCCCGUGAAGCUCAAAGUCGAAUGCCCGCAGCAUGAAUAGUAACCCACUACAGUGCCUGCUACAGUGCUGGAACCCCAAAAAUGCCGUUUUUGGUGUCGAAUUCAUCCAAUUUGCAUUUUUGAGCUUCGUUCGACUCUGUUAAGAACUGCAACACCAAAAUAACCAAUUUAUACUUAAACGGGCAUCAAUUCAUUAAGAUAUACACAAAUAAUACAAGAUCAAUACGUAUAAAAUACAUACAUUUAGUUGUUUAUCAGUGACGCACAUGAAUGGAUUAACNUACGUAUAAAAUACAUACAUUUAGUUGUUUAUCAGUGACGCACAUGAAUGGAUUAACRAGAUUCCCACUAUCCCURUCUACUAUCCAGCGAAACCACAGMUAAGGGAAUGGGUUUGGCGGAAUCAGCRGGGAAAGAAGACCCUGUUGAGCUUGACUCUAGUCCGACUUUGUGAAAUGACUUGAGAGGUGUAGGAUAAGUGGGAGCCCUCGRGCGGAAGUGAAAUACCACUACUUUUAAUGUUAUUUUACUUAUUCCGUGGACCGGAGGUUGGGCUCUGCCCCUMCUUUUGGAUCCAAGGACGCGCCCCGCGUGCGGCCGAUCCRGGCUAAAGAUAUUGUCAGGUGGGGAGUUUGGCUGGGGCGGCACAUCUGUUAAAAGAUAACGUAGGUGUCCUAAGAUGAGUUCAACUAGAACAKAAAUCUCGUGAGUAACAAAAGGGUAAAAGCUCRUUUGAUUCUKAUUUCCAGUACGAAUACGAACCRUGAAAGCGUGGCCUAUCGAUCCUUUAGCCCUUCGGGAUUUGAAGCUAGAGGUGUCAAAAAAGUUACCACAKGGAUAACUGGCAUGUGGCAGCCAAGCGUUCAUAGCGACGUUGCUUUUUGAUCAUUCGAUGUCAGCUCUUCCUAUCAUUGUGAAGCAGAAUUCACCAAGUGUUGGAUUCUUCACCCACCAAUAGGGAACGUGAGCUGGGUUUAGACCGUUGUGAGACAAGUUAGAUUUACCCUACUGAUGACCRCACCGCUAUAGUAAUUCAACCUAGUACGAGAGGAACUGUGUGCCAGUGGUUGAAAAGCCAGUGGCGCGAAGCUAUCGUGUGCCGGAUUAUGGCUGAACGCCUCUAAGCCAGAAUCCAAGCUAGUGUGCGGCGCCACGCACCGYCUCCCAGAACCCCGACCCAUAGUAGGGGACCACGCRUCCCCUACGGGCCCGUGUCACAGGCAGCGGCCCCCGCGGCGGACCUGCCGUGGGCGGUGGCCUCGAAGCGGGAUUCCGAGCGGGCGGCGGGCUGAAUCCUUUGCAGACGACUUAAAUACGCGAUAGGGCAUUGUAAGUGGCAGAGUGGCCUCGCUGCCAUGAUCCACUGAGAUCCAGCCCCUCGUCACAUGGAUUCAUCCCUUUCCCUCCGA